Molecule: ribosomal RNA, 1964 nt
Filed under: human metagenome
Description: bacterial LSU rRNA
Rfam family: Bacterial large subunit ribosomal RNA
Source: RNAcentral
UCAAGCUACUAAGGGCAUACGGUGGAUGCCUAGGCGCCAAGAGCCGAAGAAGGACGCGGUAAGCUGCGAAAAGCCACGGGGAACUGCAAGCAAGUAUUGAUCCGUGGAUAUCCGAAUGGGGAAACCCGGCCAUCGUCAUGGAUGGUCACCCGCAAGGGAGGGAACCUGGGGAACUGAAACAUCUAAGUACCCGGAGGAAGAGAAAUCAAACGAGAUGCCCACAGUAGCGGCGAGCGAAGAGGGCAGAGCCCAAACCGAGAAGCUCCGGCUUUUCGGGGUUGAGGACCGGCAGAAUCGAAGUCAGGCCUAGUCGAAUUACCUGGAAAGGUAAGCGAGAGAGGGUAAAAGCCCCGUAGACGAAAGGCAGAGCAGAGAGGCCGAGAUCCAGAGUACCACGAAGCACGAGGAAUUUUGUGGGAAGCAGGGGGGACCACCCUCCAAGGCUAAAAACUACUUGGCGACCGAUAGCGCAUAGUACCGUGAGGGAAAGGUGAAAAGAACCCCGGGAGGGGAGUGAAAUAGUACCUGAAACCGUAUGUCUACAAGCAGUCGAAGCGAAAGCGACGGCGUGCCUAUUGAAGAAUGAACCAACGAGUUAUCUGCACUAGCGAGGUUAAGUGGAAGACACGGAGCCGUAGCGAAAGCGAGUCUUAAGAGGGCGCAAGUUAGUGUAGGUAGACCCGAAACCGCAGUGAUCUACCCAUGUCCAGGUUGAAGCGCAGGUAAAAUUGCGUGGAGGACCGAACCGGUGAGCGUUGAAAAGCUUUCGGAUGAGAUGUGGGUAGGGGUGAAAUUCCAAUCGAACGCGGAGAUAGCUGGUUCUCCCCGAAAUAGCUUUAGGGCUAGCCUGAGGUAGUAAGUAUAGGCGGUAGAGCACUGAUCGGGCUAGGGGCCGUAAAGGUUACCGAACCCUGUCAAACUCCGAAUGGAUAUACUGUAGAGCCUUGGAGUCAGACUACGAGUGAUAAGAUCCGUGGUCAAAAGGGAAACAGCCCAGACCACCAGCUAAGGUCCCCAAUGUCGUACUAAGUGGAAAAGGAUGUGGGGUUUCAUAAACAACCAGGAUGUUGGCUCAGAAGCAGCCACCAUUUAAAGAGUGCGUAAUAGCUCACUGGUCGAGAGACCCUGCGCCGAAGAUUCCCGGGGCUAAAGUACGAAACCGAAGCUGUGGCUGUAUACGUAAAGUAUACGGGGUAGGGGAGCGUUCCCAUAGGGUAGAAGUCGAACUGGAAGGUUCGGUGGACUUGUGGGAAGUGAGAAUGUUGGUAUGAGUAGCGAAAAGAAAGGUGAGAAUCCUUUCCACCGAAAGCAUAAGGAUUCCUGAGCAACGAUCGUCGUCUCAGGGUAAGUCGGGACCUAAUCCGAGGCAGAGAGCGUAGGAGAUGGACAACUGGUUGAUAUUCCAGUACCGGUAGUAAUUGUUUGAGCAAUGGAGUGACACAGAAGGGCAGGCAAGCAUGCGAAUGGAAGAGCAUGUGUAAGCGUGUAGGGUGGUGCAUAGGCAAAUCCGUGCACUGAAAGCCUGAGGCGUGAUGCGGAGUGAGCAGAGAUGCGAGCGAAGUUGUUGACCCCACACUGUCGAGAAAAGCUUCUAGUGAGAGAGCUACCGCCCGUACCGUAAACCGACACAGGUAUGCGGGGAGAGAAUCCUAAGGUGCGCGGGAGAACCCUCGUUAAGGAACUCGGCAAAAUGUACCCGUAACUUCGGGAUAAGGGUAGCCACUGUUGUGAAGUCCCACGCGGAUGGAGCAUAGAGUGGUCGCAGAGAAGAGGCCCAAGCGACUGUUUACCAUAAACACAGGUGCCUGCUAAAGCGAAAGCUGACGUAUAGGUGCUGACACCUGCCCAGUGCCGGAAGGUUAAGGAAGGAUGUUCGGAUUAGUCCAAAGCAUUCGACUGAAGCCCCGGUGAACGGCGGCCGUAACUAUAACGGUCCUAAGGUAGCGAAAUUCCUUGUCGGGUAA